This is a long non-coding RNA of Etheostoma cragini (Arkansas darter), 184 nucleotides long. RefSeq lists it as uncharacterized. Lineage: Eukaryota; Metazoa; Chordata; Actinopteri; Perciformes; Percidae. The transcript has 3 exons. The record is from RefSeq and is a predicted model, not a curated record.
AAAAUCUAAGACUUAAGCAGAGACCAAUGCUUUUUCAUAUUGUAUGUGACCAAAUGCAUUAUUAGACAGUGCAGGACAAGCAUAUCUGAUAUCUUACCGCUCACAAUGAGAAAUACUGUAUUUUAAAAGCGUUUAUAAGUCCUUUUGUGAACUAUUUUAAUAAAGCUAACAUUCUAUCUUCUUA